This 202-nucleotide unclassified non-coding RNA is filed under the name Hevea brasiliensis (rubber tree). The record is from RNAcentral. Lineage: Eukaryota; Viridiplantae; Streptophyta; Magnoliopsida; Malpighiales; Euphorbiaceae.
GGAAGGUUAGGUAUGUAUUACUAUUCAGUUUUUCACUUAAUUUCCUGUUAUAAUACCUUUUUCUGUUUCAUUUUCAUCAGUAAUGAUACUUUUUCAUGUAGCUAGAUCAAAUACUAACGCGUGAAGAUCAGUAUGUAGCUAUUUUGAUUGAUGAGAGGUGGAUCAGGUUCAUCUUUUGCUUUAUAUUUGCAGGGAAUUCUAG